UCUCUAAAUGAUCCAGUUAUGUUUACGGAAAUAGUAAACAUCACUGGAGCGUUUCGGGUUA
RNAcentral lists this microRNA precursor (61 nucleotides) under Caenorhabditis brenneri. Its description in RNAcentral is "microRNA cbn-mir-7623 precursor". The record is from miRBase by way of RNAcentral. Lineage: Eukaryota; Metazoa; Nematoda; Chromadorea; Rhabditida; Rhabditidae.